GCACGAAACGUGAAUAGUCUUGUCCCUUUUUAAAUAUUAACUAGACAGCUACAGUUUCAGCUCUCCAUCUCAGACCCCCCAUCAGAUCCGAGUGGGUUUCCUGAUAGGCAGCCAGGCCCCUUUUGUUUGGCCUUGCUAUGCCAAAGGGUCCAGGGAAAGGGAGAACUUAAAGAUCAGCUCUGCGAUUCCCUUCAGACAACACUCAGUGUGAUUGUGGGGGCUUGAGCCCCCCUCUGUUCCCUCUGAAAGGAUUGCGGUGGGCCUGGAAAUGCCGAACACCACUGCAUGUGCUUAAGAAGCAUUGCUGGGCUUGCUCAGCAGGACAGGGGUAGAGCGGAGCAGGGCCUUCUCGGCACAGAGGCUCACACAUGGUUAACUCAGAAGACCUGCCAGAAGCAGGGCUUUGGGUUAGGGAGCUCUUAGCUCCAGAAUAUUCCUCAGAAUCAGGUCCCAAGACAGCACAUGGCUUAGGAAUAGGCAUCAGACCAAAAAGAAGAAAGCAAAAGCACAGGACAGCUUUCCCAGGGGGGAGCGGAGUUUAAUGACAGGGAGCGGGAGAGCUCAGAAAGACAGGCGUCUGUCACCGAGCUGCUUCACACACAGUAUUUAAAGCCCAGUCGCUAGAUCCACUUCCACUCCAGUGGCUUUACUAAAGCAGCACUCGGUGUACCCUGGAGAAUGUGAUGGGUCUCGUGUGCAAAUCCACGUGUUUCAACAGUUUGCUUUGAAAGAGCAGACAUUACGGCCAAGUGUCUCAGCACACCUUCGUCGUGUAGUGAUUGACCUUGGCUACCCUCCAGGAGCACAAGUUUUGGGAAGAGCAGUCACUUUGAAAAUCCAGCUCCAGCCAUCUGUCACACUCUGCUGCUGCCUCUGCUCCGUCUGACUGUUAAAUCCCACUUAGGCAGCUGGAAAGGUUGGAGCAGCAUGUCUAGGCAGCCACGAACCUGCAUAAGCAAGUGUGGAUUUUAAACUCCUCUGGCGAAAGUCAAGAGGCUUCCCUGCUGUCUCCCCACUACCUGUGCCCUCUUGUGCAGAUGCAGCCCCUGAAGCCCACAGAAGAAUCCCACAGGACCGUGGCCUCUUCCCACCCCAAAGCUGCUUUCUGGGGCCAGACCGUCAGUGAUGGGCCAGCUGAGAAGAGCAUCAUAACAAAACCAGAAGUGCUCUCUGAAAACACCUGAUAUCAUCUUGCAAUUAACUGAAAGAAUGGGGGUUUGCUACUAGACUUUCCACAAGAAAAACAAACAAACAAAAAAAUUAUUUUUGUCACAAAUAGCAGUGAUCUCUGUGAAUAAUUUAUUUUGCAGAAAUAUUAGUAUUUCCAUGGCCUAUGAGUAAAAAUUGAAUAAACCCACCACUAAAGGACAGAUCGUACAGACUUUGCCUUCGGUUCUUUACAACACACUGCUCGGUGUUAAUACUUAAGGCUCAGCAGUAAUUAAGCAGCAUCUAGCACGCGGCAGCUCCUCUGAUUGCAACGUUAACCACAUGGUAAUCUGUACUAAUGCUACAGCAGUAUCUUGUGAUAAUGAAUGAAAUAACUGGUGUCAACGCCAGAGCUGGGGAUUAUUGCAGGCGGGGGAAAACAUCCCAGUUGUUAGGAGUUUGCAUAAGCUUCUGCUGACUGCAGUUGUUUCCAGUUGCGUUGGGAAUCAAUAGCAAGUGCUGGCAGGCAGAGUCAGGUCAAUGUCAGCCCCCUGGAUUAAUUCUGAGCUUAUUAGCAUGAGUUAUAAGGGUCAGGAAGGAGUCGGUAUUAAUGUUAAACCUUUUAUAGUCCAGAUUCAUGUUAGGCAGCCAAAUAGAAGUAGACGAGAGUUUUGGAGACUUCUCUGCUUUCUUUAGAGAA
Anas platyrhynchos (mallard) is the source of this 1849-nucleotide long non-coding RNA. RefSeq lists it as uncharacterized. The record is from RefSeq and is a predicted model, not a curated record. Lineage: Eukaryota; Metazoa; Chordata; Aves; Anseriformes; Anatidae.